AGCAAUAGAAGGAUCCCUUGAAGAUGAUGAGGAACAACUAGAAACAAAUGGAUGAGAUGAAGAAGAGGUAUAGGAAGAGUUGAGGGCAUUCUGUGCUAAAAAGGCAAUAUUCGGUAGUAACAAGGUGUGAAGUAUGAGGAAGAAACCUAUUCUAUUCUAACCCAAUCUAGUUUGUUAAACAACCAUGAAAUGAACCAAACCAUAGGGUUUAGAAGAGAAAUUUUAUGGCAAGUAAAGAUUAUAACCCUUCC
This 251-nucleotide long non-coding RNA is filed under the name Vigna radiata. RNAcentral describes it as "long non-coding RNA (VRAD_LNC006231)". The record is from RNAcentral. Lineage: Eukaryota; Viridiplantae; Streptophyta; Magnoliopsida; Fabales; Fabaceae.